Molecule: ribosomal RNA, 548 nt
Filed under: uncultured bacterium
Lineage: Bacteria
Description: bacterial SSU rRNA
Rfam family: Bacterial small subunit ribosomal RNA
Source: RNAcentral
UGGGGAAUUUUGGACAAUGGGGGCAACCCUGAUCCAGCAAUGCCGCGUGUGUGAAGAAGGCCUUCGGGUUAUAAAGCACUUUUGUCCGGAAAGAAAUCGCGCUGGUUAAUACCUGGCGUGGAUGACAGUACCGGAAGAAUAAGCACCGGCUAACUACGUGCCAGCAGCCGCGGUAAUACGUAGGGUGCGAGCGUUAAUCGGAAUUACUGGGCGUAAAGCGUGCGCAGGCGGUUUUGUAAGACAGGCGUGAAAUCCCCGGGCUUAACCUGGGAAUUGCGCUUGUGACUGCAAGGCUAGAGUGCGUCAGAGGGGGGUAGAAUUCCACGUGUAGCAGUGAAAUGCGUAGAGAUGUGGAGGAAUACCGAUGGCGAAGGCAGCCCCCUGGGACGUGACUGACGCUCAUGCACGAAAGCGUGGGGAGCAAACAGGAUUAGAUACCCUGGUAGUCCACGCCCUAAACGAUGUCAACUAGUUGUUGGGGAUUCAUUUUCUCAGUAACGUAGCUNACGCGUGAAGUUGACCGCCUGGGGAGUACGGUCGCNAGANUA